This 448-nucleotide ribosomal RNA is filed under the name uncultured bacterium. Its description in RNAcentral is "SSU rRNA". It matches the Rfam family "Bacterial small subunit ribosomal RNA", at positions 26 to 518 of the family's 1533-position model. The record is from RNAcentral.
AGAACGAACGCUGGCGGCAGGCUUAACACAUGCAAGUCGAACGCGUGUAGCAAUACACGAGUGGCGCACGGGUGAGUAACGCGUGGAUAUCUGCCUUUUGGUUCGGAAUAACCCCGGGAAACUGGGGCUAAUACCGGAUGGUUCCUACGGGAUAAAGAUUUAUCGCCAAAAGAUGAGUCCGCGUACGAUUAGCUAGUUGGUGAGGUAAUGGCUCACCAAGGCGACGAUCGUUAGCUGGUCUGAGAGGACGAUCAGCCACACUGGGACUGAGACACGGCCCAAACUCCUACGGGAGGCAGCAGUGGGGAAUAUGGACAAUGGGCGCAAGCCUGAUCCAGCCAUGCCGCGUGAGUGAUGAAGGCCCUAGGGUUGUAAAGCUUCUUUGUGCGGGAAGAUAAUGACGGUACCGCAAGAAUAACGCCCCGGCUAACUUCGUGCCAGCAGCCGC